Salarias fasciatus (jewelled blenny) is the source of this 175-nucleotide long non-coding RNA. RefSeq lists it as uncharacterized. The transcript has 3 exons. NCBI's taxonomy places the organism in Eukaryota, Metazoa, Chordata, Actinopteri, Blenniiformes, Blenniidae. The record is from RefSeq and is a predicted model, not a curated record.
UGCUCUGAUUGGCCCAGUGGGGAGAGCAGUCGUCCCACAAUGGGGAUGUUGUGGGUUCGAUUCCCGUCUCCCCCUGUCUGCAUGUCGAAGUGUCCUUGGGGAAGACGCUGAACCCUGAACUGCCCCACCGUUGUACGUCGCUCUGGACAAAAGCGUCUGCUAAAUGGAAUUGCAG